This 503-nucleotide ribosomal RNA is filed under the name uncultured bacterium. RNAcentral describes it as "bacterial SSU rRNA". It matches the Rfam family "Bacterial small subunit ribosomal RNA", at positions 28 to 523 of the family's 1533-position model. The record is from RNAcentral.
GAUAAACGCUGGCGGCGUGCCUAAUACAUGCAAGUCGAUCGCUGGAAACCUAGCUUGCUAGGUGGAAGGAGAGGCGAACGGGUGAGUAACACAUAAGCAACCUGCCUACAAAGACUGGGAUAAUCUCUGGAAACGGGGACUAAGACCGGAUAGGUAAUAGGAUCACAUGAUCUUAUUAUUAAAGGUUAGAAACACUAGUAGAUGGGCUUAUGGUGCAUUAGUUAGUUGGUAAGGUAACGGCCUACCAAGACGAUGAUGCAUAGCCGGGCUGAGAGGCUGAACGGCCACAUUGGGACUGAGACACGGCCCAGACUCCUACGGGAGGCAGCAGUAGGGAAUUUUCGGCAAUGGGGGCAACCCUGACCGAGCAACGCCGCGUGAGUGAUGAAAGUCUUCGGAUUGUAAAGCUCUGUUAUAAGGGAAGAAUGUCCUUGAUAGAAUCGAGGAGUGACGGUACCUUAUCAGAAAGCUAACGGCUAACUACGUGCCAGCAGCCGCGGUAA